RNAcentral lists this ribosomal RNA (699 nucleotides) under uncultured Staphylococcus sp. RNAcentral describes it as "bacterial SSU rRNA". It matches the Rfam family "Bacterial small subunit ribosomal RNA", at positions 55 to 736 of the family's 1533-position model. The record is from RNAcentral. Lineage: Bacteria; Bacillati; Bacillota; Bacilli; Caryophanales; Staphylococcaceae.
AUGCAAGUCGAGCGAACAGAUAAGGAGCUUGCUCCUUUGACGUUAGCGGCGGACGGGUGAGUAACACGUGGGUAACCUACCUAUAAGACUGGGAUAACUUCGGGAAACCGGAGCUAAUACCGGAUAACAUUUGGAACCGCAUGGUUCUAAAGUGAAAGAUGGUUUUGCUAUCACUUAUAGAUGGACCCGCGCCGUAUUAGCUAGUUGGUAAGGUAACGGCUUACCAAGGCAACGAUACGUAGCCGACCUGAGAGGGUGAUCGGCCACACUGGAACUGAGACACGGUCCAGACUCCUACGGGAGGCAGCAUUAGGGAAUCUUCCGCAAUGGGCGAAAGCCUGACGGAGCAACGCCGCGUGAGUGAUGAAGGGUUUCGGCUCGUCAAACUCUGUUAUUAGGGAAGAACAAAUGUGUAAGUAACUGUGCACAUCUUGACGGUACCUAAUCAGAAAGCCACGGCUAACUACGUGCCAGCAGCCGCGGUAAUACGUAGGUGGCAAGCGUUAUCCGGAAUUAUUGGGCGUAAAGCGCGCGUAGGCGGUUUCUUAAGUCUGAUGUGAAAGCCCACGGCUCAACCGUGGAGGGUCAUUGGAAACUGGGAAACUUGAGUGCAGAAGAGGAAAGUGGAAUUCCAUGUGUAGCGGUGAAAUGCGCAGAGAUAUGGAGGAACACCAGUGGCGAAGGCGACUUUCUGGUCUG